UUUCCGUAGGUGAACCUGCGGAAGGAUCAUUAAAGAAUUUGCCCCGUCCUCUCGAGGAUGGGUCCUCUUCUAAACCGUGUAUACAUACCUUUGUUGCUUUGGCGGGCCGCCGUCUCGGCGUUGGCUUCGGCUGACUGUGCCCGCCAGAGAACCCCAACUCUUCUGUUUAGUAUUGUCUGAGUACUAUAUAAUAGUUAAAACUUACAACAACGGAUCUCUUGGUUCUG
RNAcentral lists this unclassified non-coding RNA (227 nucleotides) under plant metagenome. RNAcentral's name for it is "partial contains small subunit ribosomal RNA, internal transcribed spacer 1, and 5.8S ribosomal RNA". The record is from RNAcentral.